Molecule: RNA transcript, 2077 nt
Organism: Cebus imitator (Panamanian white-faced capuchin)
Lineage: Eukaryota; Metazoa; Chordata; Mammalia; Primates; Cebidae
Gene name: kelch-like protein 2
Exons: 1
Source: RefSeq, a predicted model, not a curated record
UUUGCUAUGCGAUGUCACAAUUGUGGCAGAAGACAUGGAAAUCUCUGCUCAUAGAGUGGUGCUGGCCGCCUGUAGUCCUUAUUUUCAUGCCAUGUUUACAGGUGAGAUGAGUGAAAGCCAAGCAAAGAGAGAAUAAAAGAGGUAGAUGGCUGGACCCUGAGGAUGCUAAUUGAUUACAUUUACACCGCAGAAAUUCAGGUUACAGAAGAAAAGUACAGGCACUUCUUCCAGCAGCUGGUCUCUUACAGUUACAGGAUGUGAAGAAGACCUGCUGUGAAUUUUUGGAAUCCCAGCUUCACCCUGUCAACUGCUUAGGAAUCCGGGCUUUUGCUGAUAUGCAUGCAUGUGCCGACCUUCUGAACAAGGCCAACACCUAUGCAGAGCAUCAUUUUGCAGAUGUCGUACUUAUAGAAUAAUUUCUCAAUCUUGGCAUUAAACAAGUGUGCAGCUUAAUCUCAAGUGACAAACUUACCAUUUUCUCAGAAGAGAAGGUAUUUGAAGCAGUAAUUGCAUGGGUGAACCAUGACAAGGAUGUGAGGCAAGAGUUUAUGGCCCAACUGAUGGAACAUGUGCGGUUACCUUUGUUUCCUCGGGAAUAUUUAGUUCAGAGGAUUGAAGAGGAAGCAUUGGUCAAGAAUAGCAGUGCUUGCAAAGAUUACCUGAUUGAAGCAAUGAAGUAUCAUCUGCUGCCGACAGGGCAGCGUAUAUUAAUGAAGAGUGUCCGGACCCCGCUGAGGACACCCGUGAACCUUCCCAAAUUGAUGGUGGUUGUUGGGGGUCAAGCACCAAAGGCUAUCCAGAGUGUGGAAUGCUAUGACUUUAAAGAAGAAAGGUGGCACCAAGUAGCAGAGUUGCCUUCCAGGAGGUGCAGGGCAGGGAUGGUCUACAUGGCUGGACUUGUUUUUGCCGUUAGUGGCUUUAAUGGCUCAUUAAGAGUUCACUGUAGAUUCCCACAACCCUGUGAAGGACUAGUGGACCAAUGUUGCUAACAUGAGAGACCGGAGAAGCACUUUGGGAGCUGCUGUGUUAAAUGGGUUGUUAUAUGCUGUGGGAUGCUUUGAUGGGAGUACAGGUUUAUCAUCUGUGGAAGCAUGCAACAUAAAGUCUAAUAAGUGGCUUCAUGUAGCUCCCAUGAACACAAGGAGGAGCAGUGUUGGUGUGGGUGUUGUUGGAAGUUUGCUCUAUGCUGUAGGAGGUUAUGACGGAGCAUCACGUCAGUGUCUUAGCACAGUAGAAUGCUAUAAAGCUACAACAAAUGAGUGGACCUAUAUAGCAGAAAUGAGCACCAGACGGAGUGGAGCAGGCGUUGGUGUGUUAAACAAUUUAUUGUAUGCUGCAGGAGGUCAUGAUGGCCCUUUAGUACGAAAAAGUGUUGAAGUAUAUGAUCCCACCACUAAUGCAUGGAGACAGGUUGCAGAUAUGAACAUGUGCAGAAGAAAUGCAGGAGUUUGUGCAGUUAAUGGUCUGUUAUAUGUUGUUGGAGGGGACGAUGGUUCCUGUAACUUGGCGUCGGUAGAGUAUUAUAACCCAACAACCGAUAAAUGGACAGUUGUGUCAUCGUGUAUGAGCACAGGGAGAAGUUAUGCAGGGGUCACAGUUACUGAUAAAACAUUAUGAGCCUGAAAGACAUUUUCAGCAUAUUUAUACAUGAGAAACAGCCUUCAACAAGCAUUUCUGAAGUGACUGAGAAUCUAGCACUUCUCCACUUGGUAGCUGCACUUUAAGUAUCAGCAGAAGAUAAGAUUGUCUGCCUUUAUAGGCCUCGGAUACUGAAGAUUAUUUUUGGUAGAAGCAUCGUGUAGGCUUUUUCGGCAAUGAGCAGCAGCUGACUGAAUUUUCAUAAGAAACUUGGACUGCAGGACUUAAUCUGUAGUCUUUAGACAACAGUUGCUUUCAUAAAGACUAGUUCUUAUCAGCCUUGAAUGACUACGGAUUAUUUUGUGAAGGAGGAUGAAGUCACGUGUGUUCUUGUAAAAUUAAUUUUAUCUUUAUUUCUCUAAAAAUCUGUAUACCCAGGAACUGAAAAUCUUUGAACAGAUAUUAAAAUCUACGUAAGUAUACAAACUAGUUGAGGGAU